RNAcentral lists this ribosomal RNA (460 nucleotides) under uncultured bacterium. RNAcentral's name for it is "partial 16S ribosomal RNA". It matches the Rfam family "Bacterial small subunit ribosomal RNA", at positions 338 to 795 of the family's 1533-position model. The record is from RNAcentral.
CCUACGGGAGGCAGCAGUGAGGAAUAUUGGUCAAUGGGCGCGAGCCUGAACCAGCCAAGUCGCGUGAGGGAGGACGGCCCUACGGGUUGUAAACCUCUUUUGCCGGGGAGCAACUGGCGCCACGUGUGGCGUCACUGACAGUACCCUGAGUACAAGCAGCGGCUAACUUCGGGCCAGCAGCCGCGGUAAUACGGAGGAUUCGAGCGUUAUCCGGAUUUAUUGGGUUUAAAGGGUGCGUAGGCGGAUCGUUAAGUCAGUGGUAAAAUUGAGGGGCUCAACCCCUUCCCGCCAUUGAGACUGGGGAUCUUGAGUGGAAGAGAGGAAUGCGGAAUGCGUGGUGUAGCGGUGAAAUGCAUAGAUAUCACGCAGAACACCGAUUGCGAAGGCGGCAUGCCGGCUUCCGACUGACGCUGAAGCACGAAAGCGUGGGGAUCGAACAGGAUUAGAUACCCCUGUAGUC